UUAAGCGACUAAGCGUACACGGUGGAUGCCCUGGCAGUCAGAGGCGAUGAAGGACGUGCUAAUCUGCGAAAAGCGUCGGUAAGGUGAUAUGAACCGUUAUAACCGGCGAUGUCCGAAUGGGGAAACCCAGUGUGAUUCGUCACACUAUCGUUAACUGAAUACAUAGGUUAACGAGGCGAACCGGGGGAACUGAAACAUCUAAGUACCCCGAGGAAAAGAAAUCAACCGAGAUUCCCCCAGUAGCGGCGAGCGAACGGGGAGCAGCCCAGAGUCUGAAUCAGCUUGUGUGUUAGUGGAACGGUCUGGAAAGUCCGACGGUACAGGGUGAUAGUCCCGUACACCAAAAUGCACAGGCUGUGAACUCGAAGAGUAGGGCGGGACACGUGGUAUCCUGUCUGAAUAUGGGGGGACCAUCCUCCAAGGCUAAAUACUCCUGACUGACCGAUAGUGAACCAGUACCGUGAGGGAAAGGCGAAAAGAACCCCGGCGAGGGGAGUGAAAAAGAACCUGAAACCGUGUACGUACAAGCAGUGGGAGCACCUUCGGGUGUGACUGCGUACCUUUUGUAUAAUGGGUCAGCGACUUAUAUUCUGUAGCAAGGUUAACCGUAUAGGGGAGCCGCAGGGAAACCGAGUCUUAACUGGGCGUUAAGUUGCAGGGUAUAGACCCGAAACCCGGUGAUCUAGCCAUGGGCAGGUUGAAGGUUGGGUAACACUAACUGGAGGACCGAACCGACUAAUGUUGAAAAAUUAGCGGAUGACUUGUGGCUGGGGGUGAAAGGCCAAUCAAACCGGGAGAUAGCUGGUUCUCCCCGAAAGCUAUUUAGGUAGCGCCUCGUGAAUUCAUCUUCGGGGGUAGAGCACUGUUUCGGCUAGGGGGUCAUCCCGACUUACCAACCCGAUGCAAACUACGAAUACCGAAGAAUGUUAUCACGGGAGACACACGGCGGGUGCUAACGUCCGUCGUGAAGAGGGAAACAACCCAGACCGCCAGCUAAGGUCCCAAAGUCAUGGUUAAGUGGGAAACGAUGUGGGAAGGCACAGACAGCCAGGAUGUUGGCUUAGAAGCAGCCAUCAUUUAAAGAAAGCGUAAUAGCUCACUGGUCGAGUCGGCCUGCGCGGAAGAUGUAACGGGGCUAAACCAUGCACCGAAGCUGCGGCAGCGACACUAUGUGUUGUUGGGUAGGGGAGCGUUCUGUAAGCCUGCGAAGGUGUGCUGUGAGGCAUGCUGGAGGUAUCAGAAGUGCGAAUGCUGACAUAAGUAACGAUAAAGCGGGUGAAAAGCCCGCUCGCCGGAAGACCAAGGGUUCCUGUCCAACGUUAAUCGGGGCAGGGUGAGUCGACCCCUAAGGCGAGGCCGAAAGGCGUAGUCGAUGGGAAACAGGUUAAUAUUCCUGUACUUGGUGUUACUGCGAAGGGGGGACGGAGAAGGCUAUGUUAGCCGGGCGACGGUUGUCCCGGUUUAAGCAUGUAGGCUGGUUGUCCAGGCAAAUCCGGAUAAUCAAGGCUGAGGUGUGAUGACGAGGCACUACGGUGCUGAAGUAACAAAUGCCCUGCUUCCAGGAAAAGCCUCUAAGCAUCAGGUAACAUCAAAUCGUACCCCAAACCGACACAGGUGGUCAGGUAGAGAAUACCAAGGCGCUUGAGAGAACUCGGGUGAAGGAACUAGGCAAAAUGGUGCCGUAACUUCGGGAGAAGGCACGCUGGUGUGUAGGUGAAGUCCCUGCGGAUGGAGCUGAGACCAGUCGAAGAUACCAGCUGGCUGCAACUGUUUAUUAAAAACACAGCACUGUGCAAACACGAAAGUGGACGUAUACGGUGUGACGCCUGCCCGGUGCCGGAAGGUUAAUUGAUGGGGUUAUCCGUAAGGAGAAGCUCUUGAUCGAAGCCCCGGUAAACGGCGGCCGUAACUAUAACGGUCCUAAGGUAGCGAAAUUCCUUGUCGGGU
This 1947-nucleotide ribosomal RNA is filed under the name metagenome. Its description in RNAcentral is "bacterial LSU rRNA". It matches the Rfam family "Bacterial large subunit ribosomal RNA", at positions 1 to 1977 of the family's 2925-position model. The record is from RNAcentral. RNAcentral also lists the same sequence under 1 other name.